Molecule: ribosomal RNA, 788 nt
Filed under: Bacillus subtilis
Lineage: Bacteria; Bacillati; Bacillota; Bacilli; Caryophanales; Bacillaceae
Description: bacterial SSU rRNA
Rfam family: Bacterial small subunit ribosomal RNA
Source: RNAcentral
AUGGGGAGCUUGCUCCCUGAUGUUAGCGGCGGACGGGUGAAUAAUACGCGGCUAACCUGCCUGUAAAAUCUGGACAGUCCUAGGAAACCGGGGCUAAUACCGGAUGGUUGUUUGAACCGCUUGGUUCAGACAUAAAAUGUGGCUUCGGCUACCACUUACAGAUGGACCCGCGGCGCAUUAGCUAGUUGGUGAGGUAACGGCUCACCAAGGCGACGAUGCGUAGCCGACCUGAGAGGGUGAUCGGCCACACUGGGACUGAGACACGGCCCAGACUCCUACGGGAGGCAGCAGUAGGGAAUCUUCCGCAAUGGACGAAAGUCUGACGGAGCAACGCCGCGUGAGUGAUGAAGGUUUUCGGAUCGUAAAGCUCUGUUGUUAGGGAAGAACAAGUGCCGUUCAAAUAGGGCGGCACCUUGACGGUACCUAACCAGAAAGCCACGGCUAACUACGUGCCAGCAGCCGCGGUAAUACGUAGGUGGCAAGCGUUGUCCGGAAUUAUUGGGCGUAAAGGGCUCGCAGGCGGUUUCUUAAGUCUGAUGUGAAAGCCCCCGGCUCAACCGGGGAGGGUCAUUGGAAACUGGGGAACUUGAGUGCAGAAGAGGAGAGUGGAAUUCCACGUGUAGCGGUGAAAUGCGUAGAGAUGUGGAGGAACACCAGUGGCGAAGGCGACUCUCUGGUCUGUAACUGACGCUGAGGAGCGAAAGCGUGGGGAGCGAACAGGAUUAGAUACCCUGGUAGUCCACGCCGUAAACGAUGAGUGCUAAGUGUUAGGGGGUUUCCGCCCCUUA